This is a small nuclear RNA of Spermophilus dauricus (Daurian ground squirrel), 61 nucleotides long. The record is from Ensembl. Lineage: Eukaryota; Metazoa; Chordata; Mammalia; Rodentia; Sciuridae.
GUGCUCACUUGGGCAGCACAUAAACUAAAAUUGGAACAAUACAGAGAAGAUUAGCAUAGCC